GAUGAAGAACGUAGCGAAAUGCGAUAAGUAAUGUGAAUUGCAGAAUUCAGUGAAUCAUCGAAUCUUUGAACGCACAUUGCGCCCGCCAGUAUUCUGGCGGGCAUGCCUGUUCGAGCGUCAUUACAACCCUCAGGCCCCCGGGCCUGGCGUUGGGGAUCGGCGGAAGCCCCCUGCGGGCACAACGCCGUCCCCCAAAUACAGUGGCGGUCCCGCCGCAGCUUCCAUUGCGUAGUAGCUAACACCUCGCAACUGGAGAGCGGCGCGGCCACGCCGUAAAACACCCAACUUCUGAAUGUUGACCUCGAAUCAGGUAGGAAUACCCGCUGAACCUAAGCAUAUCAAUAAGCGGAGGA
This 353-nucleotide unclassified non-coding RNA is filed under the name soil metagenome. Its description in RNAcentral is "partial contains 5.8S ribosomal RNA, internal transcribed spacer 2, and large subunit ribosomal RNA". The stretch from base 1 to 120 matches the Rfam family "5.8S ribosomal RNA", at positions 35 to 154 of the family's 154-position model. The record is from RNAcentral.